This 795-nucleotide ribosomal RNA is filed under the name uncultured Glomeromycotina. RNAcentral describes it as "SSU rRNA". It matches the Rfam family "Eukaryotic small subunit ribosomal RNA", at positions 314 to 1114 of the family's 1831-position model. The record is from RNAcentral. Lineage: Eukaryota; Fungi; Glomeromycota.
AUCAACUUUCGAUGGUAGGAUAGAGGCCUACCAUGGUGGUAACGGGUAACGGGGUGUUAGGGCACGACACCGGAGAGGGAGCCUGAGAACGGCUACCACAUCCAAGGAUGGCAGCAGGCGCGCAAAUUACCCAAUCCCGACACGGGGAGGUAGUGACAAUAAAUAACAAUACGGGGUCCUUUCGGGUUUCGUAAUUGGAAUGAGUACAAUUUAAAUCUCUUAACGAGGAACAAUUGGAGGGCAAGUCUGGUGCCAGCAGCCGCGGUAAUUCCAGCUCCAAUAGCGUAUAUUAAAGUUGUUGCAGUUAAAAAGCUCGUAGUUGAAUUUCGGGAUUAGUACGUUGGUCGUGCCUUCGGUACGUACUGGUGUUACUGAUUCCUACCUUCUGACGAACCAUCAUGUCAUUAAUUUGGUGUGGUGGGAAAUCAGGACUGUUACUUUGAAAAAAUUAGAGUGUUUAAAGCAGGCUCGCGCUUGAAUACAUUAGCAUGGAAUAAUGAAAUAGGACGUUGACCCUAUUUUGUUGGUUUCUAGGAUUGACGUAAUGAUUAAUAGGGAUAGUUGGGGGCAUUAGUAUUCAAUUGUCAGAGGUGAAAUUCUUGGAUUUAUUGAAGACUAACUACUGCGAAAGCAUUUGCCAAGGAUGUUUUUAUUAAUCAAGAACGAAAGUUAGGGGAUCGAAGACGAUCAGAUACCGUCGUAGUCUUAACCAUAAACUAUGCCGACUAGGGAUCGGAUGAUGUUAUUUUUAAUGACUCAUUUGGCGCCUUACGGGAAACCAAAGUGUUUGGGUUC